CAAGAACUCUUUUUUGAGAGAGAGUGAGAGAGAAAGGGAGCCGAGAAAGAGAGAAAGAGAGGAGAAAGAGCAUCGGUUUAUUUUUGAGAGAGAAGAGAGCAUUCACGGCUACCAUACAACCGAAGGUAAAUUGGAAUUGUUUUUUUUUUUUGCUUUGUUUGUGUUUGUCCCAUGUUUGAAUGAGAAUCAAACUAUAUAAAACAUUAUUUGAUAAAUUCACAUAUACUUCACUAGGUUCCCUCGUGGCACGAAUUUUCUCAACUUGAAGGCAUACACCAUGGCUUCUUCUUCAAACCAAGUAAGUAUCCUAUUUCGUUGAUUUUAAAUUCGGAUUAGUUGUGUUUAAUUCUUUGAAGCAUGUUAUUUUCCACAACAAGUUGAAGCAUGUUAUUUUCGUGAAUUAUUUUGGUGACAUUGUUU
RNAcentral lists this long non-coding RNA (420 nucleotides) under Salvia miltiorrhiza (redroot sage). RNAcentral's name for it is "long non-coding RNA (SMIL_LNC011464)". The record is from RNAcentral. Lineage: Eukaryota; Viridiplantae; Streptophyta; Magnoliopsida; Lamiales; Lamiaceae.